This 71-nucleotide transfer RNA is filed under the name Marmota monax (woodchuck). RNAcentral's name for it is "tRNA.Ala". It matches the Rfam family "tRNA". From Rfam's summary of the family: Transfer RNA (tRNA) molecules are approximately 80 nucleotides in length. Their secondary structure includes four short double-helical elements and three loops (D, anti-codon, and T loops). Further hydrogen bonds mediate the characteristic L-shaped molecular structure. tRNAs have two regions of fundamental functional importance: the anti-codon, which is responsible for specific mRNA codon recognition, and the 3' end, to which the tRNAs corresponding amino acid is attached (by aminoacyl-tRNA synthetases). tRNAs cope with the degeneracy of the genetic code in two manners: having more than one tRNA (with a specific anti-codon) for a particular amino acid; and 'wobble' base-pairing, i.e. permitting non-standard base-pairing at the 3rd anti-codon position. The record is from RNAcentral. Lineage: Eukaryota; Metazoa; Chordata; Mammalia; Rodentia; Sciuridae.
GAGGUUGUGGCUUAGUGGUAGAGUGCUUGCCUAGCAUGCAUGAGGUACUGGGUUCGAUCCUCAACACCACA